Molecule: ribosomal RNA, 460 nt
Filed under: uncultured bacterium
Lineage: Bacteria
Description: partial 16S ribosomal RNA
Rfam family: Bacterial small subunit ribosomal RNA
Source: RNAcentral
CCUACGGGAGGCUGCAGUGAGGAAUAUUGGUCAAUGGCCGUAAGGCUGAACCAGCCAAGUCGCGUGAAGGAAGAAGGACCUAUGGUUUGUAAACUUCUUUUAUAGGGGAAUAAAGGUAUCCACGUGUGGAUAUUUGCAUGUACCCUAUGAAUAAGCAUCGGCUAACUCCGUGCCAGCAGCCGCGGUAAUACGGAGGAUGCGAGCGUUAUCCGGAUUUAUUGGGUUUAAAGGGUGCGUAGGUUGUUUUUUAAGCCAGCGGUGAAAUUUUGUGGCUCAACCAUAACCUUGCCGUGGAAACUGGGAGACUUGAGUGUGUUUGAGGUAGGCGGAAUGCGUGGUGUAGCGGUGAAAUGCAUAGAUAUCACGAAGAACACCGAUUGCGAAGGCAGCUUACUGAGCCAUAACUGACGCUGAAGCACGAAAGCGUGGGGAUCAAACAGGAUUAGAUACCCCUGUAGUC